Molecule: ribosomal RNA, 253 nt
Filed under: uncultured bacterium
Lineage: Bacteria
Description: partial 16S ribosomal RNA
Rfam family: Bacterial small subunit ribosomal RNA
Source: RNAcentral
UACGUAGGUUGCAAGCGUUAAUCGGAAUUACUGGGCGUAAAGCGUGCGCAGGCGGUUUUGUAAGUCUGAUGUGAAAUCCCCGGGCUCAACCUGGGAAUUGCAUUGGAGACUGCAAGGCUAGAAUCUGGCAGAGGGGGGUAGAAUUCCACGUGUAGCAGUGAAAUGCGUAGAGAUGUGGAGGAACACCGAUGGCGAAGGCAGCCCCCUGGGUCAAGAUUGACGCUCAUGCACGAAAGCGUGGGGAGCAAACAGG